GAUGAAGAACGUAGCAAAAUGCGAUAAGUAAUGUGAAUUGCAGAAUUCAGUGAAUCAUCGAAUCUUUGAACGCACAUUGCGCCCGCCAGUAUUCUGGCGGGCAUGCCUGUUCGAGCGUCAUUUCAACCCUCAAGCUCAGCUUGGUGUUGGGACUCGCGGUAAACCGCGUUCCCCAAAUCGAUUGGCGGUCACGUCGAGCUUCCAUAGCGUAGUAAUCAUACACCUCGUUACUGGUAAUCGUCGCGGCCACGCCGUAAAACCCCAACUUCUGAAUGUUGACCUCGGAUCAGGUAGGAAUACCCGCUGAACUUAAGCAUAUCAAUAAGCGGAGGA
RNAcentral lists this unclassified non-coding RNA (333 nucleotides) under soil metagenome. RNAcentral describes it as "partial contains 5.8S ribosomal RNA, internal transcribed spacer 2, and large subunit ribosomal RNA". The stretch from base 1 to 120 matches the Rfam family "5.8S ribosomal RNA", at positions 35 to 154 of the family's 154-position model. The record is from RNAcentral.